UACGGGGGGAGCAAACGUUGUUCGGAAUCACUGGGCGUAAAGGGUGCGUAGGCGGCUUCUUAAGUCUGGUGUGAAAUCUCCCGGCUCAACUGGGAGGGUGCGUUAGAUACUGGCAGGCUUGAGUGUGGGAGAGGAGAGCGGAAUUCCUGGUGUAGCGGUGAAAUGCGUAGAUAUCAGGAGGAACGCCUGUGGUGUAGACGGCUCUCUGGACCAUUACUGACACUGAGGUACGAAAGCGUGGGUAGCAAACAGG
Molecule: ribosomal RNA, 253 nt
Filed under: uncultured bacterium
Lineage: Bacteria
Description: partial 16S ribosomal RNA
Rfam family: Bacterial small subunit ribosomal RNA
Source: RNAcentral